Lachnospiraceae bacterium JC7 is the source of this 174-nucleotide non-coding RNA. The record is from Rfam. NCBI's taxonomy places the organism in Bacteria, Bacillati, Bacillota, Clostridia, Lachnospirales, Lachnospiraceae.
UGAUAGCAAUGAAAUGAAGAUUACUUGCAUGGACGAAAGCCAAGAUCCGUACAGUAUUAUCUGAAAAGAUCCAGUGAACCUUCGGGUUCCGCCUGAGAACUGAUACGGCAACCAAGUAUAAGACAUGUAAGAGAACUUCAUGGAGCGAAUGUCUAGUUUAGAAACUGACGGCAG